Molecule: unclassified non-coding RNA, 441 nt
Filed under: Paraphlomis longicalyx
Lineage: Eukaryota; Viridiplantae; Streptophyta; Magnoliopsida; Lamiales; Lamiaceae
Description: partial external transcribed spacer
Source: RNAcentral
GUGCAGCGACGACGUCUCGAGCAGGCCUCUUCAGUUGUUGGUUCAAGUGCGAGCGCGCCUUGGCCGAAGUCGGUUUCCUGUGCUGAAUUCCUACCGAAUGGCAAUCUUUCGGCUACCAUCGUCCCGCACUUCUCCUUUCUUCGCAUCUCCGCACGGAGAUGCGGCGCGGGGAGGACACCAAAGCCCCCGUCGUGUUUCGCAAUCCGCGCCGUCCUCCGCACGGUGCUCGGGUUGCCGACCCACGACGUCGUGCUCGAUCUCUCGGAUGCGGAAAACCAAGCGGCCACGAGGCCACGGCCUCCGUUGUCCCUUAGAAGGGCGUUCUACGCUCCCUGCGGACGACUGUCGAUCGGGUCUUGCUCCGGAGCCCCCGUGGCUCGGAUCAUGCCCGGCCGGCGUCGACGAGGAAUGCUACCUGGUUGAUCCUGCCAGUAGUCAUAU